Molecule: ribosomal RNA, 253 nt
Filed under: uncultured bacterium
Lineage: Bacteria
Description: partial 16S ribosomal RNA
Rfam family: Bacterial small subunit ribosomal RNA
Source: RNAcentral
UACGUAGGGUGCAAGCGUUGUCCGGAGUUACUGGGCGUAAAGCGCGCGCAGGCGGCGGUGUUGGCCCGGCGUGAAAGCCCCCGGCUCAACCGGGGAGAGUCGUCGGGGACCGCACCGCUUGAGGGCGGUAGGGGCUGGUGGAAUGCCUGGUGUAGUGGUGAAAUGCGUAGAGAUCAGGCAGAACACCUGGGGCGAAGGCGGCCAGCUGGGCCGUCCCUGACGCUGAGGCGCGAAGGCGUGGGGAGCGAACAGG